Alligator mississippiensis (American alligator) is the source of this 3744-nucleotide long non-coding RNA. RefSeq lists it as uncharacterized. Lineage: Eukaryota; Metazoa; Chordata; Crocodylia; Alligatoridae. The record is from RefSeq and is a predicted model, not a curated record. The transcript has 2 exons.
UCCCGGCCCCGCCCCGCCCCCCCCCGCCCGGCGCGGCGCGGCGCGGCGCCGUGGGGCCGGGCAGCAAGGGCCGGCCCCCGAGGAGGAGCUCGGCCGCUGGGCUGCGCUUGCAGGGGAUCCGUCAGAAAGGGCAAAGCAGAAACGGCCCCGGGCCGGCAGCAACGAUUAAAGACGGCAAGAAGCCCUUCUUUAGGUGCGCAGGGAGCGGACAGCAGGCGCGUGGUGACACAGGACAGGCUAGGGCAACUGGUAAGGGACAGGAGGGCCAGAGCUGAGCUCCUGCACGAGUUCUUUGCGUCUGCAUUCCUGAACACGGAUAAAGACACACCUCCCACGGCGCUAAAGACGGGCACGAGAGGGUCCAGCCCGCCACCAGUGAGCCCUGACCUAGCGAGGGGGCAUCUGGAGGGCUGGACGUGUCUGUGUGCAGGCCUAGACGAUCCUCAUCCGAGAGUGCUGAAGGACUUGGCCAGCGUGAGACCAGAGCCGCUGGUGCGAUGGUUGGAGCGCUCGUGGUGCUCAGCUGAGGUCCCAGAGGACUGGGAAAGGGCCAGUGUGCUCCCUGUUUUCAGGAAGGGGAGAAAGGAAGGUCUGGGCAAGUACAGGCUGGACAGUCAUAGACUUCAUGGGAAUUUUUCCAGCCCAGUCACCUAAGUGACCAGGUGAAAGAGGAGGGGUGUGUGGACUGAACCAAGGAGGGAGAUACAGAGGGGGAUUUCUUCACAUGGGGGGCUGUGUGUAUGUGUGUGCAAUGAGGGAGUGUGUGUGUGCCUGUGUGCGCACGUAAUGAGGGAGGGAUGGGGGUGUGUGGCUGGGGAGGGUUGUGUGUGGAGAGGGAGGGUGGCUGCAGUGUGUGAGAGGGUGUGGGUGUGGGGGUCUGCAUGUGCGUGUGUGUUCGUAAGGUGAGUCUCACAUGCACACCUUGCCACAUACAGGCACCCCCUUGCACUGCCAUACAUGUAGACACCCACACCCUCUCACACACCUCAGCACCCUCCCAGUCCACACACACCAUGACCCUCUACACCCGCCCUCCCCAUACCUACCCACACCCAGAUAUCUACAUAACCCACCUAUCCAUCGCCCCACAAAAUCACCCCACCCACCCACAUCCUCCCCACACCCCAAAGCCCCCCACAAAUCUAUACCCACCCUCAAUUUCCCCCACCAGCCACACAGUAUAGAAGAGUAAGACUUCAUUUUAAGCUAUUCUGCAACCACCUCUAUGAACACUAGACAAACACACAUCUAAAUCAAGACAAAAUGAUCUGCUCAGGUUCCUUCCGAUCCUACUAACUAUGAAACUAUGAAAAAUAUGUUUUUGAAAUGAAAUUAAUGAAUCUUGUAAAUGUUCAAUUUUUUAAAUAUAAUUUGGUAUUUUUCUGGUCCCAAGACGGCAAACACCCUUGCUGAAAGGAGUGCUUCCGUGGGCAAGGGGAGGGAUUUCUGGUGGCAAAGGUCAGGGGUUAGGGCACGGGACUUCUGGGCGCAAAAUGGCGAGCAGAAUGCAGGGCACCUGUCGGGGUGGGGCUUGUCAACACCUUGUCUAAACUCAGCAGCUCUCCAGAUGAAAUAAUUGCCUGCCCCCUGUUACAUUGUGGGACUUGAUUAGCAAAGAAUCCAUUAUAGAGAAUGUGAUGAAAGGAUUGUGGGGGGGGGGACAGCUGGCACGAGGUGGUACGCAGUUGGGACAAGCGGCUGAGAAGCAAAACUUGCUAAACUGGGCUCAUGGUGUGGCAGUAUCAGCUUCUUGCAGAGCCCAGUGGGCAUGUGCAGGCCUGGGAGUGGUGUCAUGUGGUGGGGAAGAAGGGUAAGGUCAGGGUGGAAGGCAGGGAGCACCUCCCCAGCAAUCAAUGCCCUCCUUCCUGCAACUCUAGAGCUUCACAUACAAGAACCCUGGGACCAAGAGGGAGGACAAAGCCUGGAGUCACCCAAAGACAGUCCCGGGGUGUCAUUUAGAGCCAGUUGCAUAACGGGGUGCACCAUAUUGUGCAGGCACUUCUGCUCCUAGGAGCACUGCCUGCUUUUCCAGAAUGAUGGGGAUGGCACAGCUCCACGGCUGAUUUAAAGACCAUCUCUUGGGACAAGUGGGCAGAAAACAACAGGAUGCAGUUCAACAAGGAGAAAUGCAAAGUGCUGCACCUAGGGAGAAAUGUCCAGCACACCUACAGCCUAGGGAAUGACCUGCUGGGUGGCACAGAGAUGGAAAGGGAUCUUGGAGUCCUAGUGGACUCCAAGAUGAACAUGAGCUGGCAGUGUGACGAAGCCAUCAGCAAAGCCAAAGGCACUUUAUCGUGCAUCAGCAGAUGCAUGACGAAUAGGUCCAGGGAGGUGAUACUUCCCCUCUAUCGGGCGCUGGUCAGACCGCAGUUGGAGUACUGCGUGCAAUUCUGGGCACCACACUUCAAGAGGGAUGCGGAUAACCUGGAGAGGGUCCAGAGAAGGGCAACUCGUAUGGUCAAGGGCUUGCAGACCAAGCCCUACGAGGAGAGACUAGAGAAACUGGACCUUUUCAGCCUCCGCAAGAGAAGGUUGAGAGGUGAUCUUGUGGCUGCCUAUAAGUUCAUCACGGGGGCACAGAAGGGAAUUGGUGAGUAUUUAUUCAAGGUGCCCCCGGGGGUUACAAGAAACAAUGGCCACAAGCUAGCAGAGAGCAGAUUCAGACUGGACAUUAGGAAGAACUUCUUCACAGUUCGAGUGGCCAAGGUCUGGAACGGGCUCCCAAGGGAGGUGGUGCUCUCCCCUACCCUGGGGGUCUUCAAGAGGAGGUUAGAUGAGUAUCUAGCUGGGGUCGUCUAGACCCAGCACUCUUUCCUGCCGAUGCAGGGGGUCGGACUCGAUGAUCUAUUGAGGUCCCUUCCGACCAGUGACCGGACAAGGAAGACGGCAUGAGAACUGCAUCCGAGAGACCAACUGGCGGCUUUGGCAGUGGUGUCUCGAGGCAGGCUUCGGCUUCCUGGACCAUGACCCGCACAUCACGACGAGGGACAUGCUCAUCUGGGAUGGGCUUCACCUGUCCCCCAAAGUUUGACGUGAGUAGAUGAACUUCAUAUGCCCUGCGUACGUGUGUCUCUGUGAGAGGGUGAACGGUGAAAGAAUGGUAACUAUUUGCAUGAAAACAAAAGAAGAUUUAACUGAUUGUGUAAGCAACAAGGCACCAAUGUAUAAGUGACCAGACAGUACAUAAAUUAAGCUAAUUAAUGGAUGGCUGAAGAGCUCGUCUGUAAUCAGGUGCAAAGAAGAUAGUAAGAAGAAAGAAUUUUGCAUAUCCUGCCAUUUGAACUACACAAUACUUUAAGACAAAGAUACCACCUACACAAUGCUUCAAGGCAAAAAUCAAGACUGAAAUAUCAACUCGGAGAUAACCAACUUUACUGGAAUGACUGAGCAUGGAAAAACCCCAAGGCUGAACAAAGACUUGAAAUCCCUAUAAAAGUGAGAUGCAGACAAACCAAGAUGGGGAAUCCGCUCCCUGCAACCUCAUGGAGCAGAGGCAUGCACGUCUGUUCUUCCCUCGCUUCUGUCACCCUCAACAAGCCUGGACCCAGCCACACAUUGCUAAUAUUGAGUGACUUCUGCUGGUAACUAUAACAUCUUACUGGAGUGGUUUGGUCUGUAUGUGCGACUGUGUCUCUUUGUACAUAUGCUGGUGUAUGUCUGUUUCUAUAACUGGAGUGUCCAAGUUUAUGUAAUUGCUUCAUGUAAUUGAUAAAUCUGGCAUUUUUGCCUUAUCACCCUUUAUAA